GAAAUGCGAUAAGUAAUGUGAAUUGCAGAAUUCAGUGAAUCAUCGAAUCUUUGAACGCACCUUGCGCUCCUUGGUAUUCCUUGGAGCAUGCCUGUUUGAGUAUCAUGAAAUCUUCAAAGUAAAUCUUUUGUUAACUCAAUUGGUUUCUACUUUGGUAUUGGAGGUCUUUGCAGCUUCACACCUGCUCCUCUUUGUUCAUUAGCUGGAUCUCAGUGUUAUGCUUGGUUCCACUCGGCGUGAUAAGUUAUCUAUCGCUGAGGACACUGUAAAAGGUGGCCAAGGUAAAUGCAGAUGAACCGCUUCUAAUAGUCCAUUGACUUGGACAUUACUUUGAUGAUCUGAUCUCAAAUCAGGUAGGACUACCCGCUGAACUUAAGC
This 378-nucleotide unclassified non-coding RNA is filed under the name plant metagenome. RNAcentral's name for it is "partial contains 5.8S ribosomal RNA, internal transcribed spacer 2, and large subunit ribosomal RNA". The stretch from base 1 to 105 matches the Rfam family "5.8S ribosomal RNA", at positions 50 to 154 of the family's 154-position model. The record is from RNAcentral.